RNAcentral lists this ribosomal RNA (434 nucleotides) under uncultured bacterium. Its description in RNAcentral is "partial 16S ribosomal RNA". It matches the Rfam family "Bacterial small subunit ribosomal RNA", at positions 29 to 506 of the family's 1533-position model. The record is from RNAcentral.
AGCGAACGCUGGCGGCAGGCUUAACACAUGCCAGUCGAGCGGGCACUUUCGGGUGUCAGCGGCGGACGGGUGAGUAACGCGUGGGAACGUGCCCUCUGGUUCGGAAUAACUCAGGGAAACUUGAGCUAAUACCGGAUACGCCCUUUUGGGGAAAGGCUUGCUGCCGGAGGAUCGGCCCGCGUCUGAUUAGCUAGUUGAUGAGGUAACGGCUCACCAAGGCGACGAUCAGUAGCUGGUCUGAGAGGAUGAUCAGCCACACUGGGACUGAGACACGGCCCAGACUCCUACGGGAGGCAGCAGUGGGGAAUAUUGGACAAUGGGCGCAAGCCUGAUCCAGCCAUGCCGCGUGAGUGAUGAAGGCCUUAGGGUUGUAAAGCUCUUUUAUCCGGGACGAUAAUGACGGUACCGGAUGAAUAAGCCCCGGCUAACUUCGU